UGGGGAAUUUUGCACAAUGGGGGAAACCCUGAUGCAGCGACGCCGCGUGAUUUAGAAGGCCUUCGGGUUGUAAAAAUCUUUUGUAUGGGAAGAAAAUGACAGUACCAUACGAAUAAGGACCGGCUAAUUACGUGCCAGCAGCCGCGGUAAUACGUAAGGUCCGAGCGUUGUCCGGAAUCAUUGGGCGUAAAGCGCGCGCAGGUGGUUUAGAAAGUCUGAUGUGAAAGCCCACGGCUCAACCGUGGAGGGUCAUUGGAAACUAAUAAACUUGAGUGCAGGAGAGAAAAGUGGAAUUCCUAGUGUAGCGGUGAAAUGCGUAGAGAUUAGGAGGAACACCGGUGGCGAAAGCGGCUUUUUGGCCUGCAACUGACACUGAGGCGCGAAAGCGUGGGGAGCAAACAGG
RNAcentral lists this ribosomal RNA (403 nucleotides) under Verrucomicrobiota bacterium. RNAcentral describes it as "Verrucomicrobia bacterium partial 16S ribosomal RNA". It matches the Rfam family "Bacterial small subunit ribosomal RNA", at positions 355 to 776 of the family's 1533-position model. Lineage: Bacteria; Pseudomonadati; Verrucomicrobiota. The record is from RNAcentral.